Molecule: ribosomal RNA, 253 nt
Filed under: uncultured bacterium
Lineage: Bacteria
Description: partial 16S ribosomal RNA
Rfam family: Bacterial small subunit ribosomal RNA
Source: RNAcentral
UACGUAGGGUGCGAGCGUUAAUCGGAAUUACUGGGCGUAAAGCGUGCGCAGGCGGCGCCGCAAGUCAGGCGUGAAAUCCCCGGGCUCAACCUGGGAAUGGCGCUUGAAACUAUGGUGCUGGAGUGUGGCAGAGGGAGGUGGAAUUCCACGUGUAGCGGUGAAAUGCGUAGAGAUGUGGAGGAACACCGAUGGCGAAGGCAGCCUCCUGGGCCAACACUGACGCUCAUGCACGAAAGCGUGGGGAGCAAACAGG